Etheostoma spectabile (orangethroat darter) is the source of this 737-nucleotide long non-coding RNA. RefSeq lists it as uncharacterized. The record is from RefSeq and is a predicted model, not a curated record. The transcript is spliced from 11 exons. Lineage: Eukaryota; Metazoa; Chordata; Actinopteri; Perciformes; Percidae.
CCCUUAUAAAAGCGCUCCGCACCCUCCAGUAGUCCUCACUCCUCGCCUGUCCACUUGGCCUUUCGACUGGAUGGCUGUACAAAUAAAAGUGGACCUUAGAUGGUCUCGGGAUGUCCAGAGACAUGAAGCGACCGGAGCGGAAAGAGGUGUGCUUACAUUGGAAGAAUUAACCUUUCGGUGACAUCAGAACAGGUCCUUUAUUCUUGGAUCUAGUUAACGGUGUUAGCUCAGUUACAGAAAUGAGACUGGCGGUACAAAAGGCUGUGUGAAGACAUGUGAAACCUUGCUGCAGAGACUGUUCACAGCCAGCUUUGUGUUGAUUGUGGCUGUCAUGGGAGCAGGGUUAUGAUUGUUUUGGAGGUGGGUUUCCUCAAAGAUGAGGAAGAGUUGGCUCUGCAGACUGACUGAAUGCAGCAGUGAAGCCUGUGGCCCAACAGAGUGACCCUACGUGCAAGUUUUUGCUCUAAAUGUUGAUGGUGCCAGGAGCCAAUGGACAACAUGUGAAUAUACACUCACCGGCCACUUUAUUAGGUACACCUGUCCAACUGCUCGUAGCACUUAAUUUCUAAGCAGCAAUCACAUGGCGGCAACUCAGUGCAUGUAGACAUGGUCAAGAGAAUCUCCUGCAGUUCAAACGAGCAUCAGUAUGGGGAAGAAAGGUGAUUUGAGUGACUUUGAACGUGGCGAUGUUGGUGCCAGAAGGGCUGGUCUGAGUAUUUCAGAAACUGCUAAUCUAC